Molecule: long non-coding RNA, 731 nt
Organism: Arabidopsis lyrata subsp. lyrata
Lineage: Eukaryota; Viridiplantae; Streptophyta; Magnoliopsida; Brassicales; Brassicaceae
Exons: 2
Source: RefSeq, a predicted model, not a curated record
CUAACCUCAUUCUCGCCUCCGUCGCACCCAAAAGUCUCGCCGACCUUCUCUCAUCUUCUCUUUGUCGCACCCAAUUUGAAAAAGAGACUUCUCUCCGUCGCACCCAACGAUCUCUGGCCUUCCCGAUCUCGACGACCAACGACCAACGUACUUGGUGUGCUAAAUGUAAUUUGCAUCUUAUCUUCAAUACCAGAUGAUCUUGAAGAUACAGUCUCAUCAGAAGACGAAAAUGAUCUAGAAAUGAGUUUGCUAGUCGACCUUCUGUGCAAAGGCUACAAAAUGAAAGCUGAAGAUUGGAGAAGAGGAUCACUUGAAGUUGUAGUUGUGAUGGAAGAAGUUACUAUGAAAUCUUAUUUGUUCUUUAACAAGGAGGCAGUGAGACCAUCUUCUUUAGGCGAGUCAGUUAUGGAGAAGCUUGACAAGCUACACAAGCUAGUUGAAGAUGAGUUCAAAUCAACAAAUAAACGCUUAUCAAAUCCUUCCUCUAGAAAUUUAGGAAGGAUUUCUCGAAUUUCAGGAAGGCCUUCAUUAGAAAAAAGUAUACACACACCCUCACAAGGAAUUGAACCCAAGGCAUUGGUUUUUGUACUAGAGCAGGUAACCAAUAAGCCAAGCUAUUCAUUCAAAGAUAGCAUAGAAAUAAAUGUAUAUAAACAUGAAAUAAUUUAGGAAGAACUCUUUGAGAUUUCGGUAGACCUUCUUAAAAUUGGGACAUUGAUGAGUUUGUGAUA